This 245-nucleotide ribosomal RNA is filed under the name uncultured bacterium. RNAcentral's name for it is "partial 16S ribosomal RNA". It matches the Rfam family "Bacterial small subunit ribosomal RNA", at positions 524 to 767 of the family's 1533-position model. The record is from RNAcentral.
UACGUAGGAGGCGAGCGUUGUCCGGAAUCACUGGGCGUAAAGCGCGCGUAGGCGGGCCGGCGCGUCGAUGGUGAAAGCCCCCGGCUCACCCGGGGGAGUGCCGUCGAGACGGCGGGCCUUGGAGGGCGGUAGGGGCAGGUGGAACGCCCGGAGUAGCGGUGAAAUGCGUUGAGAUCGGGCAGAACACCGGUGGCGAAGGCGGCCUGCUGGGCCGCACCUGACGCUGAGGCGCGAAAGCCGGGGGA